RNAcentral lists this ribosomal RNA (438 nucleotides) under uncultured cyanobacterium. RNAcentral's name for it is "bacterial SSU rRNA". It matches the Rfam family "Bacterial small subunit ribosomal RNA", at positions 997 to 1433 of the family's 1533-position model. Lineage: Bacteria; Bacillati; Cyanobacteriota. The record is from RNAcentral.
CUCCUUGAAAGGGGAGAGUGCCUUCGGGAGCGUCAAGACAGGUGGUGCAAUGGCUGUCGUCAGCUCCGUGUCGUGAGAUGUUGGGCUAAGUCCCGCAACGAGCGCAACCCUCGUUUCUAGUUGCCAUCAUUAUGUUGGGCACUCUAGAGAGACUGCCGGUGACAAACCGGAGGAAGGUGGGGAUGACGUCAAGUCAGCAUGCCCCUUACGCCUUGGGCUACACACGUACUACAAUGGUCGGGACAAAGGGCAGCAAGCUAGCGAUAGUAAGCGAAUCUCAUCAAACCCGGCCUCAGUUCAGAUUGCAGGCUGCAACUCGCCUGCAUGAAGGAGGAAUCGCUAGUAAUCGCAGGUCAGCAUACUGCGGUGAAUCCGUUCCCGGGCCUUGUACACACCGCCCGUCACACCAUGGGAGUUGGCCACGCCCGAAGUCGUUAC